UGAAUACGAGACGCUACGGCGUCGAAGCAGUCGAUGUCAUACUCCCAAGAAAAGCUUGCAAUGUCAUAAACAAAUAAUGCCUGUACCAUAACCGACACAGGUGGGUAGGUAGAGUAUACUAAGGGGCGCGAGAUAACUCUCUCUAAGGAACUCGGCAAAAUGACUCCGUAACUUCGGGAGGAGGAGUGCCUUAUUUAUAAGGUUGCAAUAACAAGAUCCAAGCAACUGUUUAUCAAAAACACAGGUCUCCGCUAAGUCGUAAGACGAUGUAUGGGGGCUGACGCCUGCCCAGUGCCAGAAGGUUAAAGAAGUUGGUUAGCAUCCGCGAAGCUGAUAACUGGAGCCCUGGUGAACGGCGGCCGUAACGAUAACGGUCCUAAGGUAGCGAAAUUCCUUGUCGGGUAAGUUCCGACCCGCACGAAAGGCGUAAUGAUUUGGAUACUGUCUCGGAGAGGGACUCGGUGAAAUAGACUUGUCUGUGAAGAUGCGGACUACCUGCACCUGGACAGAAAGACCCUAUGAAGCUUUACUGUAACUUGAAAUUGAAAUUGGACUUUAUUUGUGCAGUAUAGGUGGUAGGCGUUGAGAAUAUUCUUGCGGGAAUAUUGGAGCCAUCAGUGAGAUACCACUCUUGUAAUGUUAGAUUUCUAACUUUGCAUCAUUAUCUGGUCAAAGAACAGUUUCAGGCGGGCAGUUUGACUGGGGCGGUCGCCUCCCAAACGGUAACGGAGGCGUACAAAGGUUUCCUCUGAACGGGUAGAAAUCGUAUCUAGAGUGUAAAGGCAUAAGGAAGCUUGACUGUGAGACCUACAAGUCGAGCAGGGACGAAAGUCGGUCUUAGUGAUCUGACGGUGCUGAGUGGAAAGGCCGUCACUCAACGGAUAAAAGUUACUCUAGGAUAACAGGCUGAUCUCCCCCAAGAGUUCACAUCGACGGGGAGGUUUGGCACCUCGAUGUCGGCUCAUCGCAUCCUGGGGCGGUAGUACGUCCAAAGGGUUGGGCUGUUCGCCCAUGAAAGCGGUACGCGAGCUGGGUUCAGAACGUCGUGAGACAGUUCGGUCCAUAUCCGGUGUAGGCGUUAGAAUAUUGAGAGGAGCCUUCUUUAGUACGAGAGGACCGAGAAGGACAUACCUCUGGUGUACCAGUUAUCGUGCCAACGGUAAACGCUGGGUAGCUAUGUAUGGAGAGGAUAACCGCUGAAAGCAUCUAAGUGGGAAGCCCACCUCAAGAUAAGUAUUCUCAU
Molecule: ribosomal RNA, 1243 nt
Filed under: metagenome
Description: bacterial LSU rRNA
Rfam family: Bacterial large subunit ribosomal RNA
Source: RNAcentral